This 450-nucleotide ribosomal RNA is filed under the name uncultured bacterium. RNAcentral describes it as "partial 16S ribosomal RNA". It matches the Rfam family "Bacterial small subunit ribosomal RNA", at positions 354 to 796 of the family's 1533-position model. The record is from RNAcentral.
GUGGGGAAUUUUGGACAAUGGGCGCAAGCCUGAUCCAGCAAUGCCGCGUGCAGGAAGAAGGCCUUCGGGUUGUAAACUGCUUUUGUACGGAACGAAACGGUCCUGGUUAAUACCUGGGGCUAAUGACGGUACCGUAAGAAUAAGCACCGGCUAACUACGUGCCAGCAGCCGCGGUAAUACGUAGGGUGCGAGCGUUAAUCGGAAUUACUGGGCGUAAAGCGUGCGCAGGCGGUGCUGUAAGACAGGCGCGAAAUCCCCGGGCUCAACCUGGGAAUUGCGCUUGUGACUGCAGUGCUGGAGUACGGCAGAGGGGGAUGGAAUUCCGCGUGUAGCAGUGAAAUGCGUAGAUAUGCGGAGGAACACCGAUGGCGAAGGCAGUCCCCUGGGCCUGUACUGACGCUCAUGCACGAAAGCGUGGGGAGCAAACAGGAUUAGAUACCCGGGUAGUCC